CCGGCGACCGGCGCACGGGUGAGUAACACGUAUGGAACCUGCCCGCCAGCAGGGGGAGUAAGCGGAAGAAAUUCCGUCUAAUACCGCGUAACAACGUUGGGAGGCAUCUCCCGAUGUUUAAAGAUUUAUCGGCUGCGGAUGGCCAUGCGGCGCAUUAGCUAGUCGGCGGGGUAACGGCCCACCGAGGCGACGAUGCGUAGGGGUUCUGAGAGGAAGGUCCCCCCACACUGGUACUGAGACACGGACCAGACUCCUACGGGAGGCAGCAG
This 269-nucleotide ribosomal RNA is filed under the name uncultured bacterium. Its description in RNAcentral is "partial 16S ribosomal RNA". It matches the Rfam family "Bacterial small subunit ribosomal RNA", at positions 88 to 354 of the family's 1533-position model. The record is from RNAcentral.